RNAcentral lists this ribosomal RNA (253 nucleotides) under uncultured bacterium. Its description in RNAcentral is "partial 16S ribosomal RNA". It matches the Rfam family "Bacterial small subunit ribosomal RNA", at positions 524 to 776 of the family's 1533-position model. The record is from RNAcentral.
UACGUAGGGGGCAAGCGUUAAUCGGAAUUACUGGGCGUAAAGCGUGCGCAGGCGGCUUUGCAAGACAGAUGUGAAAUCCCCGGGCUCAACCUGGGAACUGCAUUUGUGACUGCAAGGCUAGAGUACGGUAGAGGGGGAUGGAAUUCCGCGUGUAGCAGUGAAAUGCGUAGAUAUGCGGAGGAACACCGAUGGCGAAGGCAAUCCCCUGGACCUGUACUGACGCUCAUGCACGAAAGCGUGGGGAGCAAACAGG